RNAcentral lists this ribosomal RNA (222 nucleotides) under uncultured bacterium. RNAcentral describes it as "partial 16S ribosomal RNA". It matches the Rfam family "Bacterial small subunit ribosomal RNA", at positions 524 to 745 of the family's 1533-position model. The record is from RNAcentral.
UACGUAGGGUGCAAGCGUUAAUCGGAAUUACUGGGCGUAAAGCGUGCGCAGGCGGUUUUGUAAGUCUGUCGUGAAAGCCCCGGGCUCAACCUGGGAAUUGCGAUGGAGACUGCAAGGCUUGAAUCUGGCAGAGGGGGGUAGAAUUCCACGUGUAGCAGUGAAAUGCGUAGAGAUGUGGAGGAACACCGAUGGCGAAGGCAGCCCCCUGGGUCAAGAUUGACG